AACGAACGCUGGCGGCAGGCCUAACACAUGCAAGUCGAGCGCCCCGCAAGGGGAGCGGCGGACGGGUGAGUAACGCGUGGGAAUUUUCCUCAAGGUACGGAACAACCCAGGGAAACUUGGGCUAAUACCGUAUGAUGCAGAGAUGCCAAAGAUUUAUCGCCUUGGGAUAAGCCCGCGUCAGAUUAGGUAGUUGGUGGGGUAACGGCCUACCAAGCCUGCGAUCUGUAGCUGGUCUGAGAGGACGAUCAGCCACACUGGGACUGAGACACGGCCCAGACUCCUACGGGAGGCAGCAGUGGGGAAUCUUGCGCAAUGGGCGAAAGCCUGACGCAGCCAUGCCGCGUGAGUGAUGAAGGUCUUAGGAUUGUAAAGCUCUUUCGCCCGUGACGAUGAUGACGGUAACGGGAGAAGAAGCCCCGGCUAACUUCGUGCCAGCAGCCGCGGUAAUACGAAGGGGGCUAGCGUUGUUCGGAAUUACUGGGCGUAAAGCGCGCGUAGGCGGU
This 503-nucleotide ribosomal RNA is filed under the name uncultured bacterium. RNAcentral describes it as "bacterial SSU rRNA". It matches the Rfam family "Bacterial small subunit ribosomal RNA", at positions 28 to 579 of the family's 1533-position model. The record is from RNAcentral.